UUUCGGAACCUCUACCCAAGUUGUCAUCGCUAAUCGCGACGACGAAGUUCUGAAACAAAAAUAAUUUACAAUAAAU
Aricia agestis (brown argus) is the source of this 76-nucleotide long non-coding RNA. RefSeq lists it as uncharacterized. The record is from RefSeq and is a predicted model, not a curated record. NCBI's taxonomy places the organism in Eukaryota, Metazoa, Arthropoda, Insecta, Lepidoptera, Lycaenidae. The transcript is spliced from 3 exons.